GACGAACGCUGGCGGCGUGCCUAAUACAUGCAAGUAGAACGCACAGUUUAUACCGUAGCUUGCUACACCAUAAACUGUGAGUUGCGAACGGGUGAGUAACGCGUAGGUAACCUGCCUGGUAGCGGGGGAUAACUAUUGGAAACGAUAGCUAAUACCGCAUAAUAUUAAUUAUUGCAUGAUAAUUGAUUGAAAGAUGCAAUUGCAUCACUACCAGAUGGACCUGCGUUGUAUUAGCUAGUAGGUGAGGUAACGGCUCACCUAGGCGACGAUACAUAGCCGACCGGGGAGGGUGAUCGGCCACACUGGGACUGAGACACGGCCCAGACUCCUACGGGAGGCAGCAGUAGGGAAUCUUCGGCAAUGGACGAAAGUCUGACCGAGCAACGCCGCGUGAGUGAAGAAGGUUUUCGGAUCGUAAAGCUCUGUUGUAAGAGAAGAACGGGUGUGAGAGUGGAAAGUUCACACUGUGACGGUAUCUUACCAGAAAGGGACGGCUAACUACGUG
RNAcentral lists this ribosomal RNA (505 nucleotides) under uncultured bacterium. Its description in RNAcentral is "partial 16S ribosomal RNA". It matches the Rfam family "Bacterial small subunit ribosomal RNA", at positions 28 to 507 of the family's 1533-position model. The record is from RNAcentral.